UACGUAGGGGGCAAGCGUUGUCCGGAUUUAUUGGGCGUAAAGAGCGUGUAGGCGGCCAGACAGGUCCGUUGUGAAAACUCGAGGCUCAACCUCGAGAUGUCGAUGGAAACCGUCUGGCUAGAGUCCGGAAGAGGAGUGUGGAAUUCCCGGUGUAGCGGUGAAAUGCGCAGAUAUCGGGAGGAACACCAAUGGCGAAGGCAGCUCGCUGGGACGUGACUGACGCUGAGACGCGAAAGCGUGGGGAGCAAACAGG
RNAcentral lists this ribosomal RNA (253 nucleotides) under uncultured bacterium. RNAcentral's name for it is "partial 16S ribosomal RNA". It matches the Rfam family "Bacterial small subunit ribosomal RNA", at positions 524 to 776 of the family's 1533-position model. The record is from RNAcentral.